Unclassified non-coding RNA from Pongo abelii (Sumatran orangutan), 148 nucleotides. It matches the Rfam family "Metazoan signal recognition particle RNA". From Rfam's summary of the family: The signal recognition particle (SRP) is a universally conserved ribonucleoprotein. It is involved in the co-translational targeting of proteins to membranes. The record is from Ensembl. Lineage: Eukaryota; Metazoa; Chordata; Mammalia; Primates; Hominidae.
GCUGGGCAUGGUGGCACAUGCCUGUAGUCCCAGCUACUCGGGAGGCUGAGGCAGGAUAAUCACUUGAGCCCAGGAGGUCAAGGCUGCAGUGAUCUGUGAUUGUACCACUGCACUCCAGCCUGGACAACAGAGUGAGUCCCUGUCUCAA